Molecule: long non-coding RNA, 273 nt
Filed under: Nicotiana tabacum (common tobacco)
Lineage: Eukaryota; Viridiplantae; Streptophyta; Magnoliopsida; Solanales; Solanaceae
Description: long non-coding RNA (NTAB_LNC017192)
Source: RNAcentral
AUACUGACUAACUGAAAAAGUUCAGUUUAGGGUUUAAAACUCUAACGCUGACUAAAGGAAAAGUUCAAUUUAGGGUUUUAAAACCCUAAUGCUGAUUGAAUGGAAAAGUUCAGUUUAGGGUUUAAAACCCUAAUGCUGACUGAAUGGAAAAAGUUCAGUUUAGAGUUUAAAACCCUAAUGCUGACUAAAGGAAAAAGUUCAGUUUAGGGUUUAAAACCCUAAUGCUGACUAAAUGGAAAGAGUUCAACUUAGGGAUCAGAGCCCUAAAUUGGG